CCUACGGGUGGCAGCAGUGGGGGAUAUUGCACAAUGGGGGAAACCCUGAUGCAGCGACGCCGCGUGUGGGAAGACGGUCCUCUGGAUUGUAAACCACUGUCCCCAGGGACGAAGAUGACGGUACCUGGGGAGGAAGCUCCGGCUAACUACGUGCCAGCAGCCGCGGUAAUACGUAGGGAGCGAGCGUUGUCCGGAAUUACUGGGUGUAAAGGGAGCGUAGGCGGGAUGGCAAGUUAGGUGUUAAAUCUACCGGCUCAACUGGGAGUCGCACUCAAAACUGCUAUUCUUGAGUGAAGUAGAGGUAGGCGGAAUGCCUAGGGUAGCGGUGAAAUGCGUAGAUAUUAGGAGGAACACCGGUGGCGAAGGCGGCAUGCUGGGCUUUUACUGACGCUGAGGCUCGAAAGUGUGGGGAGCAAACAGGAUUAGAUACCCCAGUAGUC
RNAcentral lists this ribosomal RNA (440 nucleotides) under uncultured bacterium. RNAcentral's name for it is "partial 16S ribosomal RNA". It matches the Rfam family "Bacterial small subunit ribosomal RNA", at positions 338 to 795 of the family's 1533-position model. The record is from RNAcentral.